Molecule: long non-coding RNA, 1527 nt
Filed under: Anolis carolinensis (green anole)
Lineage: Eukaryota; Metazoa; Chordata; Lepidosauria; Squamata; Anolidae
Description: lncRNA (ENSACAG00000040667.1)
Source: RNAcentral
AUGCUAUUAGUCUUCAUCUCAGAGUUUGCUUUGUCAGAUGUUGGAGAUGUAAAUCAUGCAACCCAUUCUCCACUUCAAUUACUGAAGUGUAGCCUGAAUUCAGCACCCUGGACAAUUCCAAGGUUUGAAAAGUCUGACAGUCUUCACUUUGACAUACGCCAACAGCUGUGCAAAUCAGAAGCCCUCCCACCCAGGCUUUACAGACUUCCCAAAAUCUACAAGGACUCCAUCUCACUCAGACCCAUUGUAAGUGCCAUUGGAUCACCGACUUACAACCUGGCAAAAUUUCUGGCUACACAGCUACAAACCCACAUUGGUCUCACUGCACACUAUAUCAAGGACUCAACACACUUCAUAGAAAAGAUCAGCAACCUCAAUCUAAGCACCAAGGACAUCCUGAUCAGCUUCGAUGUGGUGUCCCUAUUUACCAAGGUCCCGGUAGCUGACACCCUCACACUAAUCAAACAAAACUUCCCAGAAGACAUCACAGCCCUGUUUCAUCAUUGCCUCACCACUAGCUACUUUCAGUGGGACACUGGAUUCUAUGAACAGAAGGAUGGAGUGGCCAUGGGGAGCCCUCUCAGCCCAGUAGUAGCAAAUUUCUAUAUGGAAUACUUUGAAAAACAGGCCCUAGAAACAGCACCAAAAAAGCCAACUGUUUGGUUCAGAUAUGUAGAUGACACCUUCACAAUUUGGAGCCAUGGAGAGGAAGAACUCAGCAAGUUCCUGGACCAUCUUAACAGCAUCCACCCAAACAUCCAAUUCAGCAUGGAAAAAGAAAAGGAAGGAAAACUGCCAUUUCUAAAUGUUCUGGUCAUCCGCAAACCCAAUCAACAAUUGGGCCACACAGUUUACAGAAAACCUACGCACACAGAUAGAUACCUUCAUAAAAACUCCAACCAUCACCCAAGUCAAAAAAGGAGCACAAUCAAAGCCCUGACAGACCGUGCACAAAGAAUCUGCGAACCUCACCUCCUCCAAGGUGAACUAAACCACCUAAACUGGGCUCUACAGGCCAAUGGAGACUCCACCACAGACAUCAGAAGAGCUGCAAGGCCAAGAAUAAGCCAUGAGAGUCAAGACAAAGAUCCACCCAGAGGAAAGGUGUUCUUACCAUACAUCAAGGGAACCACUGACCGCAUAGGCAAACUGAUGAAGAAGCACAACCUACAAACUAUCUACAGACCCACAAAGAAAAUCCAACAAAUGCUAAGGUCAGCGAAGGACAAGAGGGAUCCUCUCUCUUCUGCAGGAGUCUACCGGAUACCAUGCAGCUGUGGACAAGUCUACAUAGGGACCACCAAACGCAGCAUUGCCCAAACAAGAGUCAAAGAAUAUGAAAGGCACUGCAGACUAACUGAACCAGAGAAAUCAGCCAUAGCAGAGCAUUUGAUGAACCAGCCAGGAUAUUAUUUGAGAACACAGAAAUGCUGGACCAUUCCAACAACUAUCAUGUCAGACUACACAGAGAAGCCAUUGAAAUCCACAAGCAUGUGGACAACUUCAACAGAAAGGAAGAAACCAUGA